AAUGAAGUUCCUUCGGGAACGGAUUUAGCGGCGGACGGGUGAGUAACACGUGGGCAACCUGCCUCAUAGAGGGGAAUAGCCUUCCGAAAGGGAGAUUAAUACCGCAUAAGAUUGUAGUACCGCAUGGUACAGCAAUUAAAGGAGCAAUCCGCUAUGAGAUGGGCCCGCGGCGCAUUAGCUAGUUGGUGAGGUAACGGCUCACCAAGGCGACGAUGCGUAGCCGACCUGAGAGGGUGAUCGGCCACAUUGGGACUGAGACACGGCCCAGACUCCUACGGGAGGCAGCAGUGGGGAAUAUUGCACAAUGGGGGAAACCCUGAUGCAGCAACGCCGCGUGAGUGAUGACGGCCUUCGGGUUGUAAAGCUCUGUCUUCAGGGACGAUAAUGACGGUACCUGAGGAGGAAGCCACGGCUAACUACGUGCCAGCAGCCGCGGUAAUACGUAGGUGGCGAGCGUUGUCCGGAUUUACUGGGCGUAAAGGGAGCGUAGGCGGAUUUUUAAGUGAGAUGUGAAAUACUCGGGCUUAACCUGAGUGCUGCAUUUCAAACUGGAAGUCUAGAGUGCAGGAGAGGAGAAAGGAAUUCCUAGUGUAGCGGUGAA
This 601-nucleotide ribosomal RNA is filed under the name uncultured bacterium. Its description in RNAcentral is "bacterial SSU rRNA". It matches the Rfam family "Bacterial small subunit ribosomal RNA", at positions 69 to 685 of the family's 1533-position model. The record is from RNAcentral.